UGUUGACAUUAUAGUUGUGCAGGAACUUUGUUGACUCUAGAGAACCUCGGACAAAUCGCACAUCCCCACAGCGGCGACUUUCCAUGCGGAUGUCAUCCAUAUCAACUUUUAAAUGCCAGUUUCUGCGCCUACCAUGGUGACCACGGGUAACGGGGAAUCAUUCCGAGCAGGGACCCUGAGAAACGGCUACCACAUGCAAGGAAGGCAGCAGGCGUGCAAAUGACCCACUCCUGACGCGGGAAGGUAGUGACGACA
Non-coding RNA from Pelobates cultripes (western spadefoot toad), 255 nucleotides. NCBI's taxonomy places the organism in Eukaryota, Metazoa, Chordata, Amphibia, Anura, Pelobatidae. The record is from the annotation of a GenBank genome assembly.